UACGUAUGGACCGAGCGUUGUCCGGAAUCAUUGGGCGUAAAGGGUACGUAGGUGGUUAGAAAAGUUAGAAGUGAAAGGCUAUAGCUCAACUAUAGUAAGCUUUUAAAACUGGAUAACUUGAGAGAUGGAAGGGAAAGUGGAAUUCCCAGUGUAGCGGUGAAAUGCAUAGAUAUUAGGAGGAAUACCAGUGGCGAAGGCGACUUGCUGGAAUCUAACUGACACUGAGGUACGAAAGCGUGGGGAGCAAACAGG
RNAcentral lists this ribosomal RNA (252 nucleotides) under uncultured bacterium. Its description in RNAcentral is "partial 16S ribosomal RNA". It matches the Rfam family "Bacterial small subunit ribosomal RNA", at positions 524 to 776 of the family's 1533-position model. The record is from RNAcentral.